This 253-nucleotide ribosomal RNA is filed under the name uncultured bacterium. RNAcentral's name for it is "partial 16S ribosomal RNA". It matches the Rfam family "Bacterial small subunit ribosomal RNA", at positions 524 to 776 of the family's 1533-position model. The record is from RNAcentral.
UACGUAGGGUGCAAGCGUUACUCGGAAUUACUGGGCGUAAAGCGUGCGCAGGCGGUUUUGUAAGCCAGAUGUGAAAUCCCCGGGCUUAACCUGGGAAUGGCAUUUGGGACUGCAAGGCUGGAGUUUGGCAGAGGAGACUGGAAUUCCUGGUGUAGCAGUGAAAUGCGUAGAUAUCAGGAGGAACACCGAUGGCGAAGGCAGGUCUCUGGGCUGAAACUGACGCUCAUGCACGAAAGCGUGGGGAGCAAACAGG